AAGACUGUACUUUCAGGGAUCAUUUCUGUAGUUCGUUAAAAGUUAUAAAGAGUCUUUCACAUGACAAUUUAGUUGAGGUUUUUUUCUUAUUAACUGAUAA
Molecule: small nucleolar RNA, 100 nt
Filed under: Camelus bactrianus (Bactrian camel)
Lineage: Eukaryota; Metazoa; Chordata; Mammalia; Artiodactyla; Camelidae
Also listed under: 1 other name
Description: Small nucleolar RNA U3
Source: Rfam by way of RNAcentral